Molecule: RNA transcript, 2964 nt
Organism: Magnolia sinica
Lineage: Eukaryota; Viridiplantae; Streptophyta; Magnoliopsida; Magnoliales; Magnoliaceae
Exons: 6
Source: RefSeq, a predicted model, not a curated record
AUUUCUCUCAAAUGGAGAUUUAGGUUUUUUUGUUUAUAGAUCUACAAAUCCGCAGAUUAUAGAGAAACAAUAUUGGAAGUAGAGGUUUCCUAAAAUCUGUAAUGGGAAAAGGAUUAAGGCUUUCCCAAAAAAAUUAUUGGAGAGCUUGUGUUAAUUAUCUUUAUAAUGACAUGGUAAAAAGUUCUAUUUGUAAAUAAACCUUGACGGUCAUUUUUUAUGUAUGUGAAUUUGUUUUGUUUUUGUUUUUGUUUUUGUUUUCUUUUUCUCAUUUUUUAUCCUCAUAUUAAGAGAGAAUUGUAUUGCUUGGAAAUAGCCAUUGUUUCUUACUGUAGUUUGAUGAUACAUCAUGAAAACAGGAUAAUAUGUUUAGAAAGUAAAUUUUCUAUUCUCAUUGGAUUCCAGUGAUGUUAUGUCAAAUGAUUUACUUCUUGUGAUUGAUGCGAUAGAUUCGUAUGAAGUGGUUUUGUGAUAUUUUUUCUGCUAAUUAAUGAGAAUUGAACGGUUUUGGUCUUUUUUCCAAUUUUUAUAAUAUUUAUCUUGAUAUAUUCUAACCUAAAGAGGGUGAUGUGUCGGAACUUUGGUAUUUUGGAGAAUGAUGAACUCAUGAUGUUGAUACUUAGGCUAUUCUUAUAAAUACGGUGGUGUUAAUUUUCUUGCACUUGUCAAUUGUUCCGACAUCAAAAGGGAAGCUAGUUUUUUUUAGAAAUGAAGGGUGAUCAAAGUGAUGGAGAUGAAACUUCCUCGUGUGGGAAUGAUUGGGAAGUUGUGUCACUGACUGCAUCAACAUAUGCUGCUGCACCUGGGCCAAAAGGAUCCAAGUCGUUCUAUGAUUACAAGAAUGAGGUAGUCACCAAUGAUGAGGAGAAAUCCUCUCCUGGAAUGUUCAUGUCCAGUCACUUUGUAUAUCCACCACAACAGCAUGAAAAUUUUCCAGUGGAGCCUGAUAACAAUGAAAUUCAUAAUGGACUUGGAGGAGAAGGUUUGGGCCAAGCAUGUGGGCUGGAGACGGUGGAAAGGGAUAGACCCAGCAAAACCGUGGAAGAAGAUUGGAUUAUCAAAGGAUAUUCUGAUGGGCAUGAGAUACAUGGAAUUCCUUUCUCAAGUAGCAAGAUAUUCAUGAAGCUAUUAACCUGGACAUCCUUUCUCAAAUGGAUGUAAAACUACCCAUGGAUAUCUUUGAAAAUGUCAUGGAACUCACAACAGAAGGAUGCAAAGCAGUUGCUCAUUACAUUCGGGAAGUGCUGUUAGAGAAUACCAAACAGUUGGAGUAUCGACAAAGCAUAUAGUUUCCGUCAGAUGCUUAAAUAUUGUUGGGAUUGGAUGCAUCCGGUAUGUACAGAAGUUUGAACUCUUUAGCAAUGCAAAUUACGAAAAGAGGUGGUCUUCCAUGACUUGCUUCUGUUUGGGAGCUAUGACCCAAAGCGGACUGUUUCUACGUAUCCUUCAGGUAAGUCAUAUUACUCAAAUUCUUUCUUAGAUACUUUUGAAAAAGUUUACUGACGUACAAGGAACCUUUAAUGCUAGUGCUUACAGCAUAAGGUUGUUCAAUACUUUGUGUCAGAUUUUGAUUUGGUUGUGGUAGUUAUUGCUGGAUAAUUUACAAAACAUAACCCUUCUAAAUAUUUCCUUAAGCUGGAUGGAAUUAAUAAACAAUGGGCUGUACGUACAGUCUACAUAUCACCACCAUUUGUAAAUGGUGGUGAUUCAUCACCACACAUGGGGACACACGUCUAUGACAAUCAUCCAAAUCACAUGCCUUAUUAGGGAUAGAGUACAGUCCAAAAAUCACGCUCAUUGGAUGAGAUCUUAACCAUAUAAGUUUGCCAUUGUAUUUGGAACCCUGACCAACUGAUUUUAGUUGUCAAUUAGAUGGUGCCACCAAUUGGGUUGUUAGGAUUGUCUUUAUAAUUUUCAGAUUAUGUUCCAUCCACAACGGGACAGGCAAUCUGGAUGGUGGCUGAGUUACCACUGUUUAGCAUAUGGUGGGGAACCAUCUUGUCCCAAAAAUUGACUCGUUCAUGGUCGACUGCAUCCACAUCAAUGUUGACAUUUAUUCUGUUGUUUUCAUUCUGUUCCCUGGUUUUCACAAUAGGCAGCAGUUGUCAUGGAUGAGUCACCACCACUUGGAAAUGGUGGUAAAUGGCCUGGCCUCAGAAAAUGGCUAGCCAAUGGUCUAUUGACUCUUAUCAGUUUGUAUUGACAUUUCUUCUGUUGUUUUCACUUCCUUGCAUGGAUAUCACAAUAAGAAAACUGUUGUUGCUUUCAAUAUUCUGUACAUGUGAAGCAUUCUUUUUGGGGUCGACUGCUUCCACAUCAAAGUAGACAGACUAUUGUACAGCUGCAAACACUUCUCAAAGCCUUCCCAAAGCUACUCUAGCAGGGCACAUGUUCCACAAUGACACACUGUAGAAGAUACUAGUUGUUCGUCAGGGUGGCACUGGCACACCAUGCAUGUACAUUGUACAAUUGCACAUAAACUAAGUAAUGGACCUUUGGAACCAAGAGUUUUAAGGACUGUGGUAUAGGCUAUAGAUAUGAAACCUUAGUUGGGACAUGUGGGGUUAGCAGCUCCUUAUUAUUUCUUGCUUCUUAUCGAACUUAUGAAUAGAGUAAUAUUUUCAGGUAUUGGAAAAUCUACUCGAGAACUCCAUCCCUUACCUGAAAUACGGCAACAAAAAAUACAGAGCUGUUCAUGUAUGAGAUCUGAUGCAUGUCUCUUGUGUUAAAAAGCAAGAGAAAGCACGAGAAGGGGUCGUCAAAAGGAAAGGCAGUCCAGCUGGCUUAUAGAGUAGAGAAGGAAAGGUAGUCCAGUCUUCAGGUAGCUUAGAUUUGCAGCAUGGGAGUUCUGAAAGUUCAAAUAUGAGAGAUGUUAGACAAGGUUCAAGCCCAAGUUCAAAAGUCAUUAGGUAGCUAGUCUUGUCACUAUUUGUACAUAUGUCAUCUCAUGAGCCUUACUUUUUGUAA